Molecule: long non-coding RNA, 339 nt
Filed under: Scleropages formosus (Asian bonytongue)
Lineage: Eukaryota; Metazoa; Chordata; Actinopteri; Osteoglossiformes; Osteoglossidae
Description: lncRNA (ENSSFOG00015027773.1)
Source: RNAcentral
AAUACUGUCAGGUCUGUUGAUUCUUACUGUGCAUGUCUCUCUUUACAGUAAAGAUCCCCCUGUGGAAUACUUCUCUAAUGGAGUCUUAGUGGCGUCUCCACUUUCUUAUCUGGAGGUUAAUGUAAAGAAGUUUCGGCAUGCAACUGAGAACCUCAUACUGAAGCUGAUUGGAGCAUACCAGGAGGAGAAGCUGGUCAUGGGUACUGAGCUGGCCUCCAAAAAUGCACAGCCACUCGGGUUCUACAUCAACAGGAAUCUGGAGACAGAGCUCAAGGUCCAUCUCAGUAAUAAUACAGUACGUAUCAACAUGCCCCAAGGCACUGUUCAUUAAAAGUUUAA